RNAcentral lists this ribosomal RNA (483 nucleotides) under uncultured bacterium. RNAcentral describes it as "partial 16S ribosomal RNA". It matches the Rfam family "Bacterial small subunit ribosomal RNA", at positions 30 to 507 of the family's 1533-position model. The record is from RNAcentral.
AUUGAACGCUGGCGGCAGGCCUAACACAUGCAAGUCGAGCGGAUGAAGGGAGCUUGCUCCUGGAUUCAGCGGCGGACGGGUGAGUAAUGCCUAGGAAUCUGCCUGGUAGUGGGGGAUAACGUCCGGAAACGGGCGCUAUUCCGCAUAAGGUCCGAGGGCGCAAGUGGGGGGUCUUCGGAACUUACGCUAUCCGAAGAGCCUAGGUCGGAAUAGCUAGUUGGUGGGGCAAAGGCCUACCAAGGCGACGAUCCGUAACUGGUCUGAGAGGAUGAUCAGUCACACUGGAACUGAGACACGGUCCAGACGCCUACGGGAGGCAGCAGUGGGGAAUAUUGGACAAUGGGCGAAAGCCUGAUCCAGCCAUGCCGCGUGUGUGAAGAAGGUCUUCGGAUUGUAAAGCACUUUAAGUUGGGAGGAAGGGCAGUAAGUUAAUACCUUGCUGUUUUGACGUUACCAACAGAAUAAGCACCGGCUAACUUCGUG